GAGCGGGAUAUACAUUGAAGCUAACUUCGGUUAUGUAGAAGUAUAUAUCUAGCGGCGGACGGGUGAGUAACGCGUGGGUAACCUACCUAAUGGUUCGGGAUAACAGUUGGAAACGGCUGCUAAUACCGGAUAAGCUCACACUACGGCAUUGUAGAGUGAGAAAAGGUUUACUGCCAUUGGAGGGGCCCGCGUCUGAUUAGCUAGUUGGUGGUGUAAUGGACUACCAAGGCGACGAUCAGUAGCCGACCUGAGAGGGUGAUCGGCCACAUUGGGACUGAGACACGGCCCAAACUCCUACGGGAGGCAGCAGUGGGGAAUAUUGCACAAUGGGCGGAAGCCUGAUGCAGCAACGCCGCGUGCAGGAAGAAGGUUUUCGGAUCGUAAACUGCUAUCGACUGGGACGAUAAUGACGGUACCAGAGUAAGAAGCCCCGGCUAACUACGUGCCAGCAGCCGCGGUAAU
This 462-nucleotide ribosomal RNA is filed under the name uncultured bacterium. Its description in RNAcentral is "bacterial SSU rRNA". It matches the Rfam family "Bacterial small subunit ribosomal RNA", at positions 42 to 524 of the family's 1533-position model. The record is from RNAcentral.